GUUUGAUUUUAUUUUGUUUACUCCAGCGCCCCCUUCAGGAGAACAGCCCCUGCGUUCAGCGUAAAUGACCUUAAAUAGAAUUAGUUGUAAAUAUCUGAGACUGCGCGUCUUUAAGGACCGCAGUAAACACCAGUCACACCAGUGAGGCUGGUCCCAGUCGUCCUGCAGCAGGUGGUCUGACGCAGCAGAGCAGCAGCACCCCCGCAGCUCUCAGAUGGUUCGUCCCACACAGGAGCAGAGCAGAGGGAACGGCCCACCUCUGCAGCAGGGAGGGGGGAGGACAGGAAGCUGUGAGGAGGUUACGCACUUUUACCUGAAUGUGUCAGACACGGAAUUACACUGAAAUAAGUGUUUCGGGUGGUUUUCUUUUACUUUUUAAAAAAACACUUUAAACUGUGAAGUGACGGCGGCCGGGGGGCUGCUGCAGGGCGACAGAUGCUGGAGGAGAGAUAAGACGAGAUCACAGGCGGAAAUAUUUAACCUCCUGUUUAUCCAGCAGUGCAGGAAGCCGUCAGAUUAUUCAAGUAGUAAUACCGCAAAGUACAAGUACUCCUUCUGUGCAAACCCUGCCCAGAGAUGAAUUUUCUUAAUUAUAGAUUGUUAAUAUUCUCAUUUGAAUAAUUCUUAGCUGAUUAUUUGAUUUGUAAAAAAUGAAAAAUGAGAAAAAUUCUCGUCAAGGUCAAAAAUCCAAAAUUAUUUCCAAGAAAAGAGAAAAAUAUUUGAAUUAAAAUGUUAUGAAAUAUUUAUUCAUGUUGUAGUUAAAGCUGUAGUAGGAUGGUUAGGAGGUCACAUUAAAUGUAGUGUCGUCUGCUGCCUUCUGUCAGAAGCUCUAAAUCAGUAAAGAAGUAAAGCUUCUGCAAGCAGCUCAAACUGUUUUCCUCCAAAACUUCAAACUUUGUUUUGCUGCCUGAUGAUGCAUCACAGCUGGAGCCGUCUGCAUGCACAGUGGUUCCCAACAUAUGGGUCGGAGCCCUCAGUAGGGUCACCUGACGAAUGUGGAGGUUGUUUUAUGAGAGGAAAGAAGACAAAAAGCUGCCGUGGUCUUUUUUCUGAGAUUUUUAUUUUGCAUUUAAAGAGUGUUUGAAAAUAAGAAGCUGUUAUGGAGCUCCAGAAUAUUCUUGAACACCCA
Long non-coding RNA from Astatotilapia calliptera (eastern happy), 1129 nucleotides. Lineage: Eukaryota; Metazoa; Chordata; Actinopteri; Cichliformes; Cichlidae. The record is from Ensembl.